RNAcentral lists this ribosomal RNA (1381 nucleotides) under uncultured bacterium. Its description in RNAcentral is "bacterial SSU rRNA". It matches the Rfam family "Bacterial small subunit ribosomal RNA", at positions 18 to 1394 of the family's 1533-position model. The record is from RNAcentral.
CCUGGCUCAGGAUGAACGCUAGCUACAGGCUUAACACAUGCAAGUCGAGGGGCAGCAUGGUCUUAGCUUGCUAAGGCCGAUGGCGACCGGCGCACGGGUGAGUAACACGUAUCCAACCUGCCGUCUACUCUUGGACAGCCUUCUGAAAGGAAGAUUAAUACAAGAUGGCAUCAUGAGUCCGCAUGUUCACAUGAUUAAAGGUAUUCCGGUAGACGAUGGGGAUGCGUUCCAUUAGAUAGUAGGCGGGGUAACGGCCCACCUAGUCUUCGAUGGAUAGGGGUUCUGAGAGGAAGGUCCCCCACAUUGGAACUGAGACACGGUCCAAACUCCUACGGGAGGCAGCAGUGAGGAAUAUUGGUCAAUGGGCGAGAGCCUGAACCAGCCAAGUAGCGUGAAGGAUGACUGCCCUAUGGGUUGUAAACUUCUUUUAUAAAGGAAUAAAGUCGGGUAUGGAUACCCGUUUGCAUGUACUUUAUGAAUAAGGAUCGGCUAACUCCGUGCCAGCAGCCGCGGUAAUACGGAGGAUCCGAGCGUUAUCCGGAUUUAUUGGGUUUAAAGGGAGCGUAGAUGGAUGUUUAAGUCAGUUGUGAAAGUUUGCGGCUCAACCGUAAAAUUGCAGUUGAUACUGGAUAUCUUGAGUGCAGUUGAGGCAGGCGGAAUUCGUGGUGUAGCGGUGAAAUGCUUAGAUAUCACGAAGAACCCCGAUUGCGAAGGCAGCCUGCUAAGCUGCAACUGACAUUGAGGCUCGAAAGUGUGGGUAUCAAACAGGAUUAGAUACCCUGGUAGUCCACACGGUAAACGAUGAAUACUCGCUGUUUGCGAUAUACUGCAAGCGGCCAAGCGAAAGCGUUAAGUAUUCCACCUGGGGAGUACGCCGGCAACGGUGAAACUCAAAGGAAUUGACGGGGGCCCGCACAAGCGGAGGAACAUGUGGUUUAAUUCGAUGAUACGCGAGGAACCUUACCCGGGCUUAAAUUGCAGAUGAAUUACGGUGAAAGCCGUAAGCCGCAAGGCAUCUGUGAAGGUGCUGCAUGGUUGUCGUCAGCUCGUGCCGUGAGGUGUCGGCUUAAGUGCCAUAACGAGCGCAACCCUUGUUGUCAGUUACUAACAGGUUCCGCUGAGGACUCUGACAAGACUGCCAUCGUAAGAUGUGAGGAAGGUGGGGAUGACGUCAAAUCAGCACGGCCCUUACGUCCGGGGCUACACACGUGUUACAAUGGGGGGUACAGAGGGCCGCUACCACGCGAGUGGAUGCCAAUCCCCAAAACCUCUCUCAGUUCGGACUGGAGUCUGCAACCCGACUCCACGAAGCUGGAUUCGCUAGUAAUCGCGCAUCAGCCACGGCGCGGUGAAUACGUUCCCGGGCCUUGUACACACCGCC